Molecule: ribosomal RNA, 410 nt
Filed under: uncultured bacterium
Lineage: Bacteria
Description: bacterial SSU rRNA
Rfam family: Bacterial small subunit ribosomal RNA
Source: RNAcentral
AAUGGGCGCAAGCCUGAUGCAGCCAUGCCGCGUGUAUGAAGAAGGCCUUCGGGUUGUAAAGUACUUUCAGCGGGGAGGAAGGCGAUAAGGUUAAUAACCUUGUCGAUUGACGUUACCCGCAGAAGAAGCACCGGCUAACUCCGUGCCAGCAGCCGCGGUAAUACGGAGGGUGCAAGCGUUAAUCGGAAUUACUGGGCGUAAAGCGCACGCAGGCGGUUUGUUAAGUCGGAUGUGAAAUCCCCGGGCUCAACCUGGGAACNGCAUCUGAUACUGGCAAGCUUGAGUCUCGUAGAGGGGGGUAGAAUUCCAGGUGUAGCGGUGAAAUGCGUAGAGAUCUGGAGGAAUACCGGUGGCGAAGGCGGCCCCCUGGACGAAGACUGACGCUCAGGUGCGAAAGCGUGGGGGGCAAA